CCAGUCCAUUCUUUCUCCAGUCCAUUCUUUCUCCAGUCCAUUCUUUCUCCAGUCCAUUCUUUCUCCAGUCUUUUCUUUCUCCAGUCUUUUUCUUUUCUUUCUCAGUCUUUUCUUUCUCCAGUCCAUUCUUUCUCCAGUCCAUUCUUUCUCCAGUCCAUUCUUUCUCCAGUCCAUUCUUUCUCCAGUCCAUUCUUUCUCCAGUCCUUUCUCCAGUCUUUUCUUUCUCCAGUCUUUUCUUUCUCCAGUCUUUUCUUUCUCCAGUCCAUUCUUUCUCCAGUCCAUUCUUUCUCCAGUCCAUUCUUUCUCUCAUCUUUUCUUUCUCCAGUCUUUUCUUUCUCCAGUCCAUUCUUUCUCCAGUCCAUUCUUUCUCA
Oncorhynchus tshawytscha (Chinook salmon) is the source of this 371-nucleotide long non-coding RNA. Lineage: Eukaryota; Metazoa; Chordata; Actinopteri; Salmoniformes; Salmonidae. The record is from Ensembl.